Molecule: ribosomal RNA, 497 nt
Filed under: uncultured bacterium
Lineage: Bacteria
Description: partial 16S ribosomal RNA
Rfam family: Bacterial small subunit ribosomal RNA
Source: RNAcentral
GAUGAACGCUGGCGGCGUGCCUAAUACAUGCAAGUCGAGCGAACGGACGAGAAGCUUGCUCCCCUGAUGUUAUCGGCGGACGGGUGAGUAACACGUGGUUAACCUACCUAUAAGACUGGGAUAAUUUCGGGAAACCGGAGCUAAUACCGGAUAAUAUUUUGAACCGCAUUGUUCAAACGUGAAAGACGGUCUUGCUUUCACUUAUAGAUGGAUCCGCGCUCCAUUAGCUAGUUGGUAAGGUAACGGCUUACCAAGGCAACGAUGCAUAGACGACCUGAGAGCGAGAUCGCCCACACGGGAACUGAGACACGGUCCAGACUCUUACGGGAGGCAGCAGUAGGGAAUCUUCCGCAAUGGGCGAAAGCCUGACGGAGCAACACCGCGUGAGUGAUGAAGGUCUUCGGAUCGUAAAACUCUGUUAUUAGGGAAGAACAUAUGUGUAAGUAACUGUGCACAUAUUGACGGUACCGAAUCAGAAAGCCACGGCUAACUACGUG